AUACGGAGGGGGCUAGCGUUGUUCGGAAUUACUGGGCGUAAAGCGCGUGUAGGCGGCUGGCCAAGUCUGGUGUGAAAGCCCGGGGCUUACCCCCGGAAGUGCGCCGGAAACUGGUCAGCUAGAGUAUGGGAGAGGGAAGCGGAAUUCCUGGUGUAGCGGUGAAAUGCGUAGAUAUCAGGAGGAACACCGGCGGCGAAGGCGGCUUCCUGGACCAAUACUGACGCUGACACGCGAAAGCGUGGGGAGCAAACAGGAUUAGAAACCCCGGUAGUCC
This 274-nucleotide ribosomal RNA is filed under the name uncultured bacterium. Its description in RNAcentral is "partial 16S ribosomal RNA". It matches the Rfam family "Bacterial small subunit ribosomal RNA", at positions 523 to 796 of the family's 1533-position model. The record is from RNAcentral.